This 771-nucleotide ribosomal RNA is filed under the name Borreliella garinii. RNAcentral describes it as "bacterial SSU rRNA". It matches the Rfam family "Bacterial small subunit ribosomal RNA", at positions 35 to 799 of the family's 1533-position model. The record is from RNAcentral. Lineage: Bacteria; Pseudomonadati; Spirochaetota; Spirochaetia; Spirochaetales; Borreliaceae.
GCUGGCAGUGCGUCUUAAGCAUGCAAGUCAAACGGGAUGUAGCAAUACAUCUAGUGGCGAACGGGUGAGUAACGCGUGGAUGAUCUACCUACGAGAUGGGGAUAACUAUUAGAAAUAGUAGCUAAUACCGAAUAAAGUCAAUUAAUUUGUUAAUUGAUGAAAGGAAGCCUUUAAAGCUUCGCUUGUAGAUGAGUCUGCGUCUUAUUAGCUAGUUGGUAGGGUAAAUGCCUACCAAGGCGAUGAUAAGUAACCGGCCUGAGAGGGUGAACGGUCACACUGGAACUGAGAUACGGUCCAGACUCCUACGGGAGGCAGCAGCUAAGAAUCUUCCGCAAUGGGCGAAAGCCUGACGGAGCGACACUGCGUGAAUGAAGAAGGUCGAAAGAUUGUAAAAUUCUUUUAUAAAUGAGGAAUAAGCUUUGUAGGAAAUGACAAAGUGAUGACGUUAAUUUAUGAAUAAGCCCCGGCUAAUUACGUGCCAGCAGCCGCGGUAAUACGUAAGGGGCGAGCGUUGUUCGGGAUUAUUGGGCGUAAAGGGUGAGUAGGCGGAUAUAUAAGUCUAUGCAUAAAAUACCACAGCUCAACUGUGGAACUAUGUUGGAAACUAUAUGUCUAGAGUCUGAUAGAGGAAGUUAGAAUUUCUGGUGUAAGGGUGGAAUCUGUUGAUAUCAGAAAGAAUACCGGAGGCGAAGGCGAACUUCUGGGUCAAGACUGACGCUGAGUCACGAAAGCGUAGGGAGCAAACAGGAUUAGAUACCCUGGUAGUCUACG